CGAACGGGAAUGCCACGCUGAUGCGAUUUCGGUCAAAUCAUGUGGCAUUCGAGUGGCGGACGGGUGAGUAACGCGUGGGUAACCUGCCUUACACGGGGGGAUAACACCUGGAAACAGGUGCUAAUACCGCAUAAGCGCACAGGGCCGCAUGGCCCGGUGUGAAAAACUCCGGUGGUGUAAGAUGGACCCGCGUCUGAUUAGCUUGUUGGCGGGGUAGGGGCCCACCAAGGCGACGAUCAGUAGCCGGCCUGAGAGGGUGGACGGCCACAUUGGGACUGAGACACGGCCCAAACUCCUACGGGAGGCAGCAGUGGGGGAUAUUGGACAAUGGGGGAAACCCUGAUCCAGCGACGCCGCGUGAGUGAAGAAGUAUUUCGGUAUGUAAAGCUCUGUCAGCAGGGAAGAAAGAAAUGACGGUACCUGACCAAGAAGCCCCGGCUAACUACGUGCCAGCAGCCGCGGUAAUACGUAGGGGGCAAGCGUUAUCCCGAAUUACUGGGUGUAAAGGGAGCGUAGACGGUGAUGCAAGUCUGGAGUGAAUGGCGGGGGCCCAACCCCCGGACUGCUCUGGAAACUGUGUAACUUGAGUGCAGGAGAGGUAAGCGGAAUUCCUAGUGUAGCGGUGAAAUGCG
This 632-nucleotide ribosomal RNA is filed under the name uncultured bacterium. RNAcentral describes it as "bacterial SSU rRNA". It matches the Rfam family "Bacterial small subunit ribosomal RNA", at positions 63 to 690 of the family's 1533-position model. The record is from RNAcentral.